This 498-nucleotide ribosomal RNA is filed under the name uncultured bacterium. Its description in RNAcentral is "partial 16S ribosomal RNA". It matches the Rfam family "Bacterial small subunit ribosomal RNA", at positions 30 to 523 of the family's 1533-position model. The record is from RNAcentral.
AUUGAACGCUGGCGGCAUGCCUUACACAUGCAAGUCGAACGGUAACAGGUCUUCGGAUGCUGACGAGUGGCGAACGGGUGAGUAAUACAUCGGAACGUGCCUAGUAGUGGGGGAUAACUACUCGAAAGAGUGGCUAAUACUGCAUGAGAUCUACGGAUGAAAGCAGGGGAUUGCAAGACCUUGUGCUACUAGAGCGGCCGAUGGCAGAUUAGGUAGUUGGUGGGAUAAAAGCUUACCAAGCCGACGAUCUGUAGCUGGUCUGAGAGGACGAUCAGCCACACUGGGACUGAGACACGGCCCAGACUCCUACGGGAGGCAGCAGUGGGGAAUUUUGGACAAUGGGCGCAAGCCUGAUCCAGCAAUGCCGCGUGCAGGAUGAAGGCCUUCGGGUUGUAAACUGCUUUUGUACGGAACGAAAAGCCCCGGGUUAAUACCCUGGGGUCAUGACGGUACCGUAAGAAUAAGCACCGGCUAACUACGUGCCAGCCGCCGCGGUAA